This 535-nucleotide long non-coding RNA is filed under the name Pongo abelii (Sumatran orangutan). RNAcentral describes it as "lncRNA (ENSPPYG00000040951.1)". The record is from RNAcentral. Lineage: Eukaryota; Metazoa; Chordata; Mammalia; Primates; Hominidae.
GAGAGACAAGCACAGUUCCAGAAUGUGAAAUCGCCAUGGUAAUGCUCUUCAUAACAUACUGGCUGAGGCUGAGAAUGGCACAGGCUUAACUUUAUGGAAUAUAAGCCUCCUGCUGUUGACAUGGAAAGCCUCUGAACAUCUUUACUUGGGAGGUUGUAAAGAUGGUUAGAAAUGUCUCCUGAUCUUGGAAGUGAAGCAUUGCUUGAAACUCUCCAUUUGCCUUUUGAAGGUGACUAGAAUAAUCUACAGAAAUGGCAAUGAAAAUGAGAGUAGAUGCAUAAAGAGAAAAAGUUCUGGCGAGAGUUCCAGCUUGUUUAAUGUGAAUGAAAGUGAAUAUUGCUAUGUUCUGGAAAAAGCAAAAACCCUGUCUUUCCAGCUGCUUGGCCUGAUGGAAGUAUGAAGGCGGUGUUUCCAUAAGACCUGGAAGACAAGACAUAAUGUGGGACACAAAGGCAGACGAAGACUUAUUGCUCAUUCUUUUUUUUUCCACUUCCUGAAAUAGACAGUCCUUCCCUUCUGAUCCAAACCCUAUUCA